UGAUGAUUCAGGAAUGGGAUAUUAGAACAUUGAAUCCUGGUAUCCUAGUGUGGUACUGAAAUAUUUUAAAUUUUAGAACCCGAAAUAUGUCCAUUAUGCACACAUUUUAUAGGUACAGUGAAACAGGCCAGCGAUUUCUAUGCUAAGAUACCAUAUUGUACAUUUUCAUCUUAUAAAACAUUUACAAACUUACACUUCGCCUUGACAUAAACUGAACCAACAUAUCCAUUUUAAUUGCUUUCUCUCGGUUUCUGAUCGGCCCCCGAAGGUUCUCCGACAGAUUCAUCUCAUCC
Paramuricea clavata is the source of this 293-nucleotide non-coding RNA. NCBI's taxonomy places the organism in Eukaryota, Metazoa, Cnidaria, Anthozoa, Malacalcyonacea, Plexauridae. The record is from the annotation of a GenBank genome assembly.